This 301-nucleotide ribosomal RNA is filed under the name uncultured bacterium. Its description in RNAcentral is "partial 16S ribosomal RNA". It matches the Rfam family "Bacterial small subunit ribosomal RNA", at positions 509 to 809 of the family's 1533-position model. The record is from RNAcentral.
CAGCCGCCGCGGUAAUACGUAGGGUGCGAGCGUUAAUCGGAAUUACUGGGCGUAAAGCGUGCGUAGGCGGUGAGUUAAGUCUGCUGUGAAAUCCCCGGGCUCAACCUGGGAAUGGCAGUGGAUACUGGCUCGCUAGAGUGUGUCAGAGGAUGGUGGAAUUCCCGGUGUAGCGGUGAAAUGCGUAGAGAUCGGGAGGAACAUCAGUGGCGAAGGCGGCCAUCUGGGACAACACUGACGCUGAGGCACGAAAGCGUGGGGAGCAAACAGGAUUAGAUACCCGCGUAGUCCCUGUCUCUUAUAA